This is a long non-coding RNA of Agelaius phoeniceus (red-winged blackbird), 811 nucleotides long. RefSeq lists it as uncharacterized. Lineage: Eukaryota; Metazoa; Chordata; Aves; Passeriformes; Icteridae. The record is from RefSeq and is a predicted model, not a curated record.
UCAGCAGCGGGGCCCCGGGCGGCCCGGCGCGGGGGGAACGGGGCUGCCGCUGCCUCCUCCCGGCCCCGUCCGGCUCUGUGCCCUCGGCCCUCACCUUGAGCAGCGUGUCCGCCAGGUACACGGCGCACCAGCCGCCCAGCACGGUCACCACCACCGGCACCGGGAUCAUCGCGGGCCGCGCCGCGCCUCAGCGCGGCAGCCCCGGAACCCAACCGGCCCGGAACCUUUCUCUCACCGGCUCUGCUGUCCGGGCGGACACUUCCGGGAGGCGCGUAGAGCGAGGGCAGAUUUUCCAUCAUUCUAACAACCCCACUUUCUGAUGGAAGCCAUCCAUGUUGACUGAUGCCUUUUGAGAAGGUUGGAAAGAACUUCAUUUGGACGUAAAAGCUGAAGAAUUACCGGAAGUGUAUCCAGCCCUGCAUGCUACCGAAUUUGAGUUUAUGUACUGUCAUCAAUGACUUUGGGAUGUCCCCAGCAUCUAAAAGGACUUACAAACAGUAACAGCAUAUUGAGAUCUGAUAAUGAUUUUCUUCUGCAGUGGUUCUCAGUCUAACAAAUUUAUCAAAUCAUUGAUAAAUUAUACAAAUAUGGUUCAUUCUACAUCUUACUGGUUGAAAACUCAAGUUGUUCCAUAGACCAACAUGAAUUUAAUAUUAAUAUACAGACUAUAAACCAGUGGUGGUCUUCAGAAGCAAUGGAGUGGAAUUGUAUUCAAACAGUUGUGAACACAAGUACUUUUUCCUAGUGUCAUAUCCUCACUGAAAUAAAGCAAACUAAAAUGGACAUGUUUAAAUAAACCAGUUGGUGACCA